UAACACGGGGGGGGCAAGCGUUGCUCGGAAUUACUGGGCGUAAAGGGUCCGUAGGCGGUUUUGUAAGUUAGAUGUGAAAGCUCAGGGCUUAACCUUGAAACUGCAUCUAAAACUGCGAGACUUGAGUUCGGAAGGGGUUGGUGGUAUUCCCGGUGUAGCGGUGAAAUGCGUAGAUAUCGGGAGGAACACCUAUAGCGAAGGCAGCCAACUGGGCCGACACUGACGCUGAGGGACGAAAGCGUGGGUAGCAAACGGGAUUAGAUACCCCGGUAGUCCACGCCCUAAACGAUGGAUGCUAGGUGUGGGGGCUUUUGCCUCCGUGCCGUAGUUAACACAUUAAGCAUCCCGCCUGGGGAGUACGGUCGCAAGGCUG
This 373-nucleotide ribosomal RNA is filed under the name uncultured bacterium. RNAcentral's name for it is "bacterial SSU rRNA". It matches the Rfam family "Bacterial small subunit ribosomal RNA", at positions 521 to 896 of the family's 1533-position model. The record is from RNAcentral.